AUUGAACGCUGGCGGCAUGCUUUACACAUGCAAGUCGGACGGCAGCACAGAGAAGCUUGCUUCUUGGGUGGCGAGUGGCGAACGGGUGAGUAACAUAUCGGAACGUACCGAGCAGUGGGGGAUAACUAAUCGAAAGAUUAGCUAAUACCGCAUAUUUUCUGAGGAAGAAAGCAGGGGACCUUUGGGCCUUGAGCUGUUUGAGCGGCCGAUAUCUGAUUAGCUAGUUGGUGGGGUAAAGGCCUACCAAGGCGACGAUCAGUAGCGGGUCUGAGAGGAUGAUCCGCCACACUGGGACUGAGACACGGCCCAGACUCCUACGAGAGGCAGCAGUGGGGAAUUUUGGACAAUGGGCGCAAGCCUGAUCCAGCCAUGCCGCGUGUCUGAAGAAGGCCUUCGGGUUGUAAAGGACUUUUGUCAGGGAAGAAAAGGGCGGGGUUAAUACCCCUGUCUGAUGACGGUACCUGAAGAAUAAGCACCGGCUAACUACGU
RNAcentral lists this ribosomal RNA (489 nucleotides) under uncultured bacterium. RNAcentral's name for it is "partial 16S ribosomal RNA". It matches the Rfam family "Bacterial small subunit ribosomal RNA", at positions 30 to 506 of the family's 1533-position model. The record is from RNAcentral.